This 253-nucleotide ribosomal RNA is filed under the name uncultured bacterium. RNAcentral's name for it is "partial 16S ribosomal RNA". It matches the Rfam family "Bacterial small subunit ribosomal RNA", at positions 524 to 776 of the family's 1533-position model. The record is from RNAcentral.
UACGAAGGGUGCAAACGUUGCUCGGAAUCAUUGGGCGUAAAGCGCACGUAGGCGGCCUUGUAAGUCGGAUGUGAAAUCCCACGGCUCAACCGUGGAAGUGCAUCCGAAACUGCGAGGCUCGAGUAUGGAAGAGGGUCGCAGAAUUCCCGGUGUAGAGGUGAAAUUCGUAGAUAUUCGCAAGAACACCAGUGGCGAAGGCGGCUCACUGGCCCGGUACUGACGCUGAGGUGCGAAAGCGUGGGGAGCAAACAGG